This 686-nucleotide long non-coding RNA is filed under the name Elaeis guineensis (African oil palm). RNAcentral describes it as "long non-coding RNA (EGUI_LNC069024)". The record is from RNAcentral. Lineage: Eukaryota; Viridiplantae; Streptophyta; Magnoliopsida; Arecales; Arecaceae.
GAUGCUAAAGUUAAUCUGAACUCUAUAUCUUUAUUCUCAGAGUCAAGUCCAGGCAUCAGUCAGUUGAAAGUAUCAAUCGAAAAUUAUGAUGAAAUUAUUAAGAAAUUAUCGAGGAAGAUCAUCUGGAUCUAACAAGGUACCUCCAAAACCUAACCUUUCAGAAGUACAAUCAAAAAAGAAAUUCUUAGAAGAAUUAGAUAAAAUUAUACUGAAUCAAUUUGAUAGAAUUUCUUCUUAUAAAACUCUUGAAGAAACUGGUUCUAUAUUUAAUCUGUGUGCUUGUAUAUACGAUUUGAAGAUUAGGCCAGACACUUUACCUGAAUUGAAACCUGUGAACUAGCCAAUCUUAGACCUAUCUCCCUCAUCUAGUAAGUUUAGUUCAAUCCCUUUAUCUAAACAAAUUCAUGAAACUUUAAGGAUAAAGAAACCAGUAAUCCCUUAGGAACUAGUACUUCAUUAGGUUUUAGUGAUCUCUUAGUCUCAAAAAACCCUGAGAAUAAGAGAAUAGUUAGUAGAAAGAAUAUAGUUAGUUAAUCAUUUAUCUCAAAGAAUAUUGAAGAUAUACUAAUUUCUAACUUAUAAGCUUGUAGUUCAAAUCCCUAGGAUAAUAAAUUAUUAUCCUAGAACAAUCUUUGUGGAUUUACAGUUGAUAGAAACCUCUGACAACUCAUCCACUAUCCAUUUCA